UACGUAGGGUGCAAGCGUUGUCCGGAAUUAUUGGGCGUAAAGAGCUUGUAGGCGGUCUGUCGCGUCUGCUGUGAAAAUCCGGGGCUCAACCCCGGACUUGCAGUGGGUACGGGCAGACUAGAGUGUGGUAGGGGAGACUGGAAUUCUUGGUGUAGCGGUGAAAUGCGUAGAUAUCAAGAGGAACACCUGCGGCGAAGGCGGCUCUCUGGACCACUACUGACGCUGAGGCGCGAAAGCUAGGGGAGCAAACGGG
This 253-nucleotide ribosomal RNA is filed under the name uncultured bacterium. RNAcentral describes it as "partial 16S ribosomal RNA". It matches the Rfam family "Bacterial small subunit ribosomal RNA", at positions 524 to 776 of the family's 1533-position model. The record is from RNAcentral.